RNAcentral lists this ribosomal RNA (497 nucleotides) under uncultured bacterium. Its description in RNAcentral is "partial 16S ribosomal RNA". It matches the Rfam family "Bacterial small subunit ribosomal RNA", at positions 28 to 507 of the family's 1533-position model. The record is from RNAcentral.
GAUGAACGCUGGCGGCGUGCCUAAUACAUGCAAGUCGAGCGAACAGAUGAGGAGCUUGCUCCUCUGACGUUAGCGGCGGACGGGUGAGUAACACGUGGAUAACCUACCUAUAAGACUGGGAUAACUACGGGAAACCGGAGCUAAUACCGGAUAAUAUAUUGAACCGCAUGGUUCAAUAGUGAAAGACGGUUUUGCUGUCACUUAUAGAUGGAUCCGCGCCGCAUUAGCUAGUUGGUAAGGUAACGGCUUACCAAGGCAACGAUGCGUAGCCGAUCUGAGAGGGUGAUCGGCCACACUGGAACUGAGACACGGUCCAGACUCCUACGGGAGGCAGCAGUAGGGAAUCUUCCGCAAUGGGCGAAAGCCUGACGGAGCAACGCCGCGUGAGUGAUGAAGGUCUUCGGAUCGUAAAACUCUGUUAUUAGGGAAGAACAAAUGUGUAAGUAACUAUGCACGUCUUGACGGUACCUAAUCAGAAAGCCACGGCUAACUACGUG